GCAUGGAGCCGGGUCAGCACUGGUGCUGACAACGCACGAGAGAUUGGACUCAGCUGCUGUAGUGUGUGUGUGUGGUGAGCAUGGCCCUGGGAUUGUUUGUGGUCUCCGAGAUGGACAUGUCCUCUUCCUAAUCCCCCUGUGUAGAAAGCAUGCUGUCUUUGCUGAGUGCUUGGGCUUUUGAUCCUGUGUGCGAUUACUACUUGAAAUAUGAGAUGGGACACUAUAGAUACCAUAGAUCUUAGGAGAAACAAUGUUAGGGAAAGAACAUUUAACCUGGAGGAGUUGGAGAGGUUUGCUCAACUGAGAGAUGCGGCCUUCAUGGCAGUUUGCAGGUGAGGCUUCAGCAGGUAUGUGAUCUUGCUGCUAACGGAAUAGGGCAGGGCCCACAGGGUUCCGUCCAUGUCAGAGGUGCGGUGAGCUUAUCAGUGUGUGAUGCUACAGGGAGAGACCCAGCCUCUGGCCUGAGCCUGAGGAGAAGCCACUCACCAGCAUUCCAGUUCCAAGAUGCUCCUGGUGCUAGUUAAAAUGCAGAUUAGACUUGGGAGGGAAGAACAAGGGCUGAAGCCUUUACUCACCUUGGGGAAACUCGUUCUAGCACAGCACCCAGUGAGACUGACAAGGCUUGCACUAGAGACAGGCUGCUGGGAGCCCUGAGAGCUUCCUCCCCACUGUGUGCAUGGCCUGUCCCCUUCUGUCUGUAUCUGACCUCAAUGUCAGUUGAUAACAUUAUUAAGUGCUGUCUGUGCCCUCAAGUAUGAGCUGAAUGGUCGGAAAUGCCACAGAGUCUAUAUAUUUUAAAUCACACAUGUGGUCCCCAAACAUUGAAUGUUGGAGAACUGUCUUCAGAAAGUUGGUCUAUUUAAGGCUACUGGGGAAAAGGGCGGGUCUCCUUUGCUAUCUGUCCACAGCCCCUUUGCUUCAGCAAAGAACAGUGUGCAUGCAUGCAGUCUGUGUUUGAGAGCCAUGCGAGCCUUCACCUCUGUGAGGGCCAGAUGGCUGUUUGUCUACAGUUUCCUGAAGGCCUCAGCAGAAAGGGAUUCCUUUUUCCUAGUAAGUGCUGCUGGCUGAGAGGAGGUCAGAAGUAUUUUAAUGCCAUCUGUUUCAUGGCUAAACACGCAGACUCCUUGCAUUUUAAAAUUCUGUGUCCUUUACUUUUUGGAGCUAUACUAGCUUGCUUGGGUGUGUAACUUGCCAGAGUUGACUUUUCUAGUGCUUUAUGUAAACUCUGCUGUUGGCACUUGCAGCUGAAGCAGCUGAAAGAGGGGCUGCUCACUGUUGCAGCACUGGGAUCCCUGGCAGCUGCAGCGGCAAUGCUUAAGGAGCUUUUGCAACUUUGACUUCAGUAGCAGCUUGGGAUGAUAAAAUAUGGUGAGUGUCUUGUCUGCUGUGGAGGGCCUGACAAUCUGCCAGGUGGGAAGUCUUGUUAGAAACCAGAAACUCAGUGUGGUGGUUAUCCCACCUUUUCUUUCUUUCUCCUUUGGUCUAUAAUGAUAUUGACAUAGCUAUUCAGAGUAAAAUCUAUGUAUACAAAAAAAUUCUAAGUAUGAGGUUUUAAAUGUUCUUGAACUUCAGAAAAACUUGAUUGGAUACAAUUGUUUAUAAUUAACAAGUCAUCUUAUUUAUAAAUUUUCCAAUAUAAUAUAAAUCUAUUUUGUGGAA
This 1659-nucleotide long non-coding RNA is filed under the name Rattus norvegicus (Norway rat). RNAcentral's name for it is "long non-coding RNA NONRATT008580". The record is from RNAcentral. Lineage: Eukaryota; Metazoa; Chordata; Mammalia; Rodentia; Muridae.